Molecule: long non-coding RNA, 1601 nt
Organism: Ornithorhynchus anatinus (platypus)
Lineage: Eukaryota; Metazoa; Chordata; Mammalia; Monotremata; Ornithorhynchidae
Exons: 4
Source: RefSeq, a predicted model, not a curated record
GAGUUGGUGGACAUAAUCCCUGCCUUGUGAAUUCCUUGUGAAGAAACUAACAGUUUAGAGGAAAAACCAUGGUGAGAGGUUACGAAAUAUGUGGUCAUGCCUUGCCUGAAUAUGUGCUGUAAAAGCUACUGAGAGCUAUUCCAUCCCUCUCCAGGAGAAUGCUGAUCUUCUGUACUUUCCUACAGCUAAAGAAGUGGUGUCUGCCUGACGGAUGUGGAAUCUUUGAAUACCCCUUUCAAAGAAGAGGGUAUGUUUUUGGAGCAUUAGAGAGUUGAUGGAGACACAGUGGAGAAGUGGUGACACUCAUCAGCCAUCCUGAACCCUGCCACCCCUGCAAGUAUAGGACAGAGAGGAGAUCAUCCCUAGGAUAAGAAUUCAAUGUGACCUUCUUCAAUUGGAGCAGUGGUCAGAAAUCAACAACCUGGAACAUGAUCGGGCUAAAUACAGAGAAUAAAGGGUGACUGUGCUCCAUCAACACUAAAGCUUUGGGGGAAUCCUGCAGUUUAUUUAAUGAUGUUUUCUGCCCAUUAGUAAAGGUUGGUAUCAAAUUUAUUUUUCAUCUCUUCCUACAAAAACUUCACAUAGAGCAAUUGGGGAAUUUACCUUCUGAUCUGAGGAAAAAAUAAAGCCUUUCUUUUACAAUCCAGAUAGGUUAGCCAUAUCUUUGCAUGUAAGUCUUUUCCACUCAACUCCUUCCUGAAAUCUGAAAUAUUGGAGUAUACCCUGGAGCAUAAACUUUUUAGACAUAAACUUAGCUUAGGGGAAAUUGACUCAUUUACCCUGUGGCUUCUCGUGGCUUUUGAUACCUGAGCCAGCUGUCAUUUCUUAUUAGCUUGGAUAUAAAACCUGUCAGUAUUUCUUAAUAUUAACUCUAAAGGAACAGGGCAAUAACUGGUAAAGAUCUGAAACCUUACAAGAGUCCUCUUUUUCUCUGUUCUAAACUACCUGCAUAAACCUUUAAAUCGCCUAAGAAAGUGAGAUGAAUUAUUGCUGGGGUUAAACUUCGAAGGUCACAGCAAUAGGCAUCAGGGAGAAAUGAUGAAUAUUUGAUCAUCCCUCCAUUUGAUAUUUUUCCACUUAAAUAAUGCUAACCCAAUCAGACACCAUGACUAAAGCUGAGGUCUAAAACAUUGAAUAUGUGGAUUUUUAUUUAGUUUACUUUAAGGAGAAUGUCAUCUGAUGCAUAUCAUUUUUAAGCAAGAGUAGGUAGAGCCUGGUAGGGACAGAAUUGAGGUUCCUAUUGGAGGAGGAACUGAAGUCAAAGAACUGAAAGGUAAGUAGAUAUAUUGUUGCAGCAUUUGCUGCCUGGAAGUUACAUUUCUCUCAAGACAGAGGCCUAACCUUUCCCAGAAUCCUGAGGGAACGAGAGCCAAUCAGCAAACCAGAUGAAGCCACAAGUUGGAUAAAGUUUUUAAUUGAAGAGAGAGAACCCAGUUGACUCACUCUGUUUCUUCAUCCCUGCUGGGACACACACUGAUAGAUUUGCUGUGUUACCUCCUCCAUUUCUGCUUGUGAGCAUGUAUGCUCAGAACAUCCUACGUCCGGGGAAGUUUGCUUUACCAGCACUUAGAACAGUGAUUGUCAUAAGGUAAGUGCUUAAC